CGAAACCCAUCGACGAACUCAUUUCGUACGGCAGGAGCGGGGGACCCAGGUAAGUCGCCGGACCGGACGACACACGUCGCACCGGAACGGCUAGGGGUGAAGCCGUGCCUUUCCCGAGGCACGGCCGGGCACCUCCCCGCCCGAACCCGACAGCUCACCUCGUAGGCGACGGAGAGGACUU
This 181-nucleotide small RNA is filed under the name Streptomyces yokosukanensis. Its description in RNAcentral is "c-di-AMP sequence". It matches the Rfam family "c-di-AMP riboswitch aptamer (ydaO/yuaA leader)". From Rfam's summary of the family: This family represents a conserved RNA structure found upstream of the ydaO and yuaA genes in Bacillus subtilis and related genes in other bacteria. The ydaO/yuaA element is thought to act as a genetic "off" switch for the ydaO and yuaA genes in its native state. Lineage: Bacteria; Bacillati; Actinomycetota; Actinomycetes; Kitasatosporales; Streptomycetaceae. The record is from Rfam by way of RNAcentral.